GACGAACGCUGGCGGCGUGCCUAAUACAUGCAAGUUGAGCGCUGAAGGUUGGUACUUGUACCGACUGGAUGAGCAGCGAACGGGUGAGUAACGCGUGGGGAAUCUGCCUUUGAGCGGGGGACAACAUUUGGAAACGAAUGCUAAUACCGCAUAAAAACUUUAAACACAAGUUUUAAGUUUGAAAGAUGCAAUUGCAUCACUCAAAGAUGAUCCCGCGUUGUAUUAGCUAGUUGGUGAGGUAAAGGCUCACCAAGGCGAUGAUACAUAGCCGACCUGAGAGGGUGAUCGGCCACAUUGGGACUGAGACACGGCCCAAACUCCUACGGGAGGCAGCAGUAGGGAAUCUUCGGCAAUGGACGAAAGUCUGACCGAGCAACGCCGCGAGAGUGAAGAAGGUUUUCGGAUCGUAAAACUCUGUUGGUAGAGAAGAACGUUGGUGAGAGUGGAAAGCCCAUCAAGUGACGGUAACUACCCAGAAAGGGACGGCUAACUACGUG
Molecule: ribosomal RNA, 497 nt
Filed under: uncultured bacterium
Lineage: Bacteria
Description: partial 16S ribosomal RNA
Rfam family: Bacterial small subunit ribosomal RNA
Source: RNAcentral